Molecule: unclassified non-coding RNA, 311 nt
Filed under: plant metagenome
Description: partial contains 5.8S ribosomal RNA, internal transcribed spacer 2, and large subunit ribosomal RNA
Rfam family: 5.8S ribosomal RNA (bases 1-103)
Source: RNAcentral
GAAAUGCGAUACGUAAUGUGAAUUGCAAAUUCAGUGAAUCAUCGAGUCUUUGAACGCACAUUGCGCCCCUGGUAUUCCGGGGGGCAUGCCUGUCCGAGCGUCAUUUCUGCCCUCAAGCACGGCUUGUGUGUUGGGCCCCGUCCUCCGAUCCCGGGGGACGGGCCCGAAAGGCAGCGGCGGCACCGCGUCCGGUCCUCGAGCGUAUGGGGCUUUGUCACCCGCUCUGUAGGCCCGGCCGGCGCUUGCCGAUCAACCCAAAUUUUUAUCCAGGUUGACCUCGGAUCAGGUAGGGAUACCCGCUGAACUUAAGC